Molecule: long non-coding RNA, 1034 nt
Filed under: Vigna radiata
Lineage: Eukaryota; Viridiplantae; Streptophyta; Magnoliopsida; Fabales; Fabaceae
Description: long non-coding RNA (VRAD_LNC018531)
Source: RNAcentral
AGGCAAUGACCCAGUUUCGUUUUUGGGUCGAAAUGUCACCAUAAAUCCAAAAGACGCCGCUUUUUCUUGGAGACAGGUAGCAAAGGGAGAAUGUGGUACUACGUUAUCCAAGAGAGGAACAAAACUGCACUAAAACACAACACAAAGAAAACAAAUUUUAAUCAGUUGAACCAUAAGAUAAUCGAUGAAAGACUAACAAAGGUUAAACGGUAACCAUAAAAAACCACGCACCUGGUAUGCUCUGCCGCAAAGGAGAAAAAGGAGAGGAGGAACAUGAUGAUGUUAUCAGAAACAAUAAUGCAAUGCCGCAAGAGACAAAAAGAAGAGGUGGCGGAAGAGAAAUAGGAGAAGAGGAAGACGAUAUCAGAAACUGCAAUGCCGCGAAGAGUCUGGGGUUUAUUUAAAAUGAAAUGGGGCGUCGGUUGCUUCAGAAACCGACGUCUAUAGUCACCUAGACGUCGGUUAUCGAACUAAUUCGACGACCAAGUUAACAUAUAAACUGACUUUUUGAAUGCCCAUUAGACGUCGCUGCAAAGGAGAGCCGACGUCUAGGAAGCUGAACCGAUUGACGUUCCAUUUCCUGUCAGGGAUGUUGACGAUAGUUGUGAAGGGGCGCCGUCGUCUAUAAUAAUUUAGACGUCGGUGCCCUUCUGCCGGACGUCCAAGUUUGGUGAACAUAAUUAAUUACAGGCACAUAGACGUCUCGCCCCUUAAACACCAACGUCUAAAUUUUACAAAUUUUUGUCUUCCCGCCUUCCGGACAGGACUUAGACGUCGCUUUUUAACUACAUGACGUCUAAGCGCCUGGGAAUUAGGAGAAGAGCAUUAAUUGCAACCCCGUAGACGUUGGCCCCCCAUUAAAACCGACGUCAAUAGAUUGUCUUCUCGCCUACCUCAGGCCAUUAGACGUCAGUGUAGGGCAGAGCAGAUGUCUACAAUCUCAUAGACGUCGCCUUCCCUUGAAACCGACGUCUAGGUUACCUACUUAUUUACGGUAAUGCCACCGUCCACUCAUAUACGUUGGGCUCCCCUCG